GUCGAACGAGAAUCUACUGAAAGAGUUUUCGGACAAUGGAAGUAGAGGAAAGUGGCGGACGGGUGAGUAACGCGUGAGGAACCUGCCUUGAAGAGGGGGACAACAGUUGGAAACGACUGCUAAUACCGCAUGGCGCAUAGAGGUCGCAUGAUCUUUAUGCCAAAGAUUUAUCGCUUCAAGAUGGCCUCGCGUCUGAUUAGCUAGUUGGCGGGGUAACGGCCCACCAAGGCGACGAUCAGUAGCCGGACUGAGAGGUUGAACGGCCACAUUGGGACUGAGAUACGGCCCAGACUCCUACGGGAGGCAGCAGUGGGGAAUAUUGGGCAAUGGGCGCAAGCCUGACCCAGCAACGCCGCGUGAAGGAAGAAGGCUUUCGGGUUGUAAACUUCUUUUAAGAGGGAAGAGCAGAAGACGGUACCUCUAGAAUAAGCCACGGCUAACUACGUGCCAGCAGCCGCGGUAAUACGUAGGUGGCAAGCGUUGUCCGGAUUUACUGGGUGUAAAGGGCGUGCAGCCGGGUCUGCAAGUCAGAUGUGAAAUCCAUGGGCUCAACCCAUGAACUGCAUUUGAAACUGUAGAUCUUGAGUGUCGGAGGGGCAAUCGGAAUUCCUAGUGUAGCGGUGAAAUGCGUAGAUAUUAGGAGGAACACCAGUGGCGAAGGCGGAUUGCUGGACGAUAACUGACGGUGAGGCGCGAAAGUGUGGGGAGCAAACAGGAUUAGAUACCCUGGUAGUCCACACUGUAAACGAUGAAUACUAGGUGUGCGGGGACUGACCCCCUGCGAAAGGCAGUAAACACAAUAAGUAUUCCACCUGGGGAGUA
This 822-nucleotide ribosomal RNA is filed under the name uncultured bacterium. RNAcentral describes it as "bacterial SSU rRNA". It matches the Rfam family "Bacterial small subunit ribosomal RNA", at positions 61 to 882 of the family's 1533-position model. The record is from RNAcentral.